GAUGAACGCUGGCGGCGUGCCUAAUACAUGCAAGUCGAGCGAACAGAUGAGGAGCUUGCUCCUCUGACGUUAGCGGCGGACGGGUGAGUAACACGUGGAUAACCUACCUAUAAGACUGGGAUAACUUCGGGAAACCGGAGCUAAUACCGGAUAAUAUAUUGAACCGCAUGGUUCAAUAGUGAAAGACGGUUUUGCUGUCACUUAUAGAUGGAUCCGCGCCGCAUUAGCUAGUUGGUAAGGUAACGGCUUACCAAGGCAACGAUGCGUAGCCGACCUGAGAGGGUGAUCGGCCACAUUGGAACUGAGACACGGUCCAGACUCCUACGGGAGGCAGCAGUAGGGAAUCUUCCGCAAUGGGCGAAAGCCUGACGGAGCAACGCCGCGUGAGUGAUGAAGGUCUUCGGAUCGUAAAACUCUGUUAUUAGUGAAGAACAAAUGUGUAAGUAACUAUGCACGUCUUGACGGUACCUAAUCAGAAAGCCACGGCUAACUACGUG
RNAcentral lists this ribosomal RNA (497 nucleotides) under uncultured bacterium. RNAcentral describes it as "partial 16S ribosomal RNA". It matches the Rfam family "Bacterial small subunit ribosomal RNA", at positions 28 to 507 of the family's 1533-position model. The record is from RNAcentral.